RNAcentral lists this long non-coding RNA (1887 nucleotides) under Jatropha curcas. Its description in RNAcentral is "long non-coding RNA (JCUR_LNC002661)". The record is from RNAcentral. Lineage: Eukaryota; Viridiplantae; Streptophyta; Magnoliopsida; Malpighiales; Euphorbiaceae.
UUUGACUUGCGGGAGCAGUAGACAGGUUCUGACGAUUUAAAGAACUUAAAAAUGCAAAGAAAAGAAUUGGAUCAGACAAAGGACUAAUUUAAAUGGAGAAUUAAGGAAUUAAUCUAAUAAAUUAUCUAUGUAUCUAACUGCUAUAACUAGAGUAGAUUUUACCGAAAUUUCGGCAGUACCUCCCCUAAUAAUAAGACUAUCUACCUGCUAGAAUAACACAAUAAUAUUAAAUAUCUCAAUCAAUAAACACAGCCCAUCCGUCGGGCGAUCAAGCAGUCAAAUCUCCCUUCCUCCAUCCAAAAAAUAAUACUAAUAUUUAAUCAUCAAUAUAAAACUUUAAUUUUACUACAUAAAGUUAAGCAAAUAAGCACAUAGCUAAAUAGAUAAAUAGAUGAAAUUGAUAUUGGCUUGACCUUUACAUCCUACCAGUAUAACUAUCUAAAUAUAUAUAUACCUUUAAUAAUCAUAAGCAACUAUAAUUUAUAAAAUCUUUUAUUUCCUUCAUUAUUAAUUAAGAUUUCGUAUAUUCCAUUUAAUGAUCCACGAAUCACCGUCUUCACCAUAUGUGAUCAUAGCUAACGAUCCCAUUUUAAUCGUCCAUCGAAUAUAAAUAAGCCGUUAUAUGUAUUGACCAACAUGGAAACUUAAAAAUUACACUCACUUAUAUAUGUUAGUCAUUCUACAACAACUCAAGGUCUCAACAUAAUUGCUACCAAUACACAAAUUCAAAGUUCUUCUACACUAAAAUCUUGGAUUACACAUCAACUAACCAAUUUCUUGUAGAAAAAUAAACUUAGAACUCAACUGUACUAUAUCAAGCAAUAAUUUAAAAGAAUAAUUAAAAACAGUUGCUGCCAUUUCAAGAGACUUCUCAUUCCUACACAUAACUUGGUGUAAACAUGACAACCCCACUCAACCUCAUCAAGAAGCUCAAAUAAUAGUUCCCAAAUAGCAAUGUUCAAUAAAAUUUCUAAGCAAUUUACACAGGCAGUAGUGAGAAAUGCCCAUUUCUAUAUCAAAAUUACUUUAUACAUCACCUCCCAUUAAUAAAAUUUAAAGAAUUUAUAACUAUACUGAGACUGGUUAGAAGUUAAUUACCUAGUUACAAAAUAGCGUUGGAAAAAUGAAUUUUCCGAUUAAAUGACUGGAAACAGAUCUAAUUGUCCAAAAUAUGCCACUGCCGACGAUAGCUUGGCCGGAAUUUAUGAGAAUGGUGGCCGAAAAUACGCUGGUGAGGAGUUGAUAACGAAAGAGGAGAUAGUUUCGCUGGCUGGUCUUGCCACAAAGGCGAGAAGAAUGCAGACGAUGCUACUGCCCGAUCGAAACGCAACUGCAGCUCUUUGUGUUAGCUGCGUUGGCCGGAAGCGACAGGAGGGAGUGAAGGAGAGACCGGAGCUUCUUCGUCGACGGGAGAGAAGCCAACGUCACUGGAAAGUCGAGGAGCAGGAGGCUAGACGCGACUUCUCGAUCGAAGGAGGUCGCAGCUCUCCUGCGCCUUCUAUCCGCGCCAGAAACGAAAGGAAAGGAGAACGGAUGGCUACAACUGCUGCGGCGAGGAGGCGUGGCGCUGGUCUCUGGUGGUCGGAAAAAAGAGAGGAGGAGAGGGGGAGGGUGAGGCCGGCGCUGAAAAUGUGAUAGGGGAGGGUUUCUAGAAUUGUUUAGGGUUUUUUUUUUUUUGGUUUGGUUUGGUUCGCGUUGGGUUCCGUCCAAAUCAUGGUUAGCUUGGUUUUUCUAUUGGUUUGUUGAUUUUCUUUAAGUUUGAAUUGGUUUAUAAAAUUUGGUCUAGCAAUAUAAAAUGCACUUAGUUAAAUAAUUUCAUAGGGUAUUAAUUAAUGUAUUUUAAAUAUAAUAAUAUUCUAUAAUAUCAUUGGUUUAGAAUUAACAAUU